Long non-coding RNA from Falco peregrinus (peregrine falcon), 287 nucleotides. RefSeq lists it as uncharacterized. The transcript has 3 exons. The record is from RefSeq and is a predicted model, not a curated record. NCBI's taxonomy places the organism in Eukaryota, Metazoa, Chordata, Aves, Falconiformes, Falconidae.
UGGGGAUUCUGGUCGGGGGCUCAUCCAGGGACCAGUGGAGGACCCCGUGCAGUGGCUGCGGUGGUGUGUUUGUUGCUGUUGAAGCAAAUGGCCGUAUCUCCAGUAGGCUGUGACCAAGCACUGAACCGUGGAGACACAACCCUGAGAUGAGGCAGUUGCUGUUCCUGAGAAUGAAUUAAAACCUAACUCAAGCCAACUGGGAAUGUAAACCGCACUGACCAAGGAAAGUUGGGGAAAUUGCCAGUGAAUGCAGAAAAAAGAAAAGGAAGGAAGAUGUGGAAAGCAGG